This 120-nucleotide ribosomal RNA is filed under the name Aotus nancymaae (Ma's night monkey). Lineage: Eukaryota; Metazoa; Chordata; Mammalia; Primates; Aotidae. The record is from RNAcentral.
GUCUCUAGCCAUACCACCCUGAAUGUGCCUGACCUCGUCUAAUCUCAGAAGCUUAAGCAGGGUCGGGUGUAGUUAGCACUUUGAUGGGAGACUGCCUGGGAGUACCAGGUGCUGUAGGCU